This 253-nucleotide ribosomal RNA is filed under the name uncultured bacterium. RNAcentral's name for it is "partial 16S ribosomal RNA". It matches the Rfam family "Bacterial small subunit ribosomal RNA", at positions 524 to 776 of the family's 1533-position model. The record is from RNAcentral.
UACGAAGGGGGCUAGCGUUGCUCGGAAUUACUGGGCGUAAAGGGCGCGUAGGCGGAUAUUUAAGUUGGGGGUGAAAUCCCGGGGCUCAACCUCGGAAUUGCCUUCAAAACUGGAUAUCUUGAGUUCGGGAGAGGUGAGUGGAACUCCGAGUGUAGAGGUGAAAUUCGUAGAUAUUCGGAAGAACACCAGUGGCGAAGGCGACUCACUGGCCCGAUACUGACGCUGAGGCGCGAAAGCGUGGGGAGCGAACAGG